AGCGAACGCUGGCGGCAGGCCUAACACAUGCAAGUCGAGCGAGGACUUCGGUCCUAGCGGCGGACGGGUGAGUAACGCGUGGGAACGUGCCCUUUGCUUCGGAAUAGCCCUGGGAAACUGGGAGUAAUACCGGAUGAGCCCUUUGGGGGAAAGAUUUAUCGGCGAAGGAUCGGCCCGCGUUGGAUUAGGUAGUUGGUGGGGUAAUGGCCUACCAAGCCGACGAUCCAUAGCUGGUUUGAGAGGAUGAUCAGCCACACUGGGACUGAGACACGGCCCAGACUCCUACGGGAGGCAGCAGUGGGGAAUCUUAGACAAUGGGGGAAACCCUGAUCUAGCCAUGCCGCGUGAGCGAUGAAGGCCUUAGGGUUGUAAAGCUCUUUCAGCUGGGAAGAUAAUGACGGUACCAGCAGAAGAAGCCCCGGCUAACUCCGU
Molecule: ribosomal RNA, 432 nt
Filed under: uncultured bacterium
Lineage: Bacteria
Description: partial 16S ribosomal RNA
Rfam family: Bacterial small subunit ribosomal RNA
Source: RNAcentral